CCUACGGGAGGCAGCAGUGGGGAAUUUUGGACAAUGGGGGCAACCCUGAUCCAGCCAUGCCGCGUGAGUGAAGAAGGCCUUCGGGUUGUAAAGCUCUUUCGCGAGGGAAGAAAACUUACUCAAUAACACUGGGUGAGGAUGACGGUACCUUGAUAAGAAGCACCGGCUAACUACGUGCCAGCAGCCGCGGUAAUACGUAGGGUGCGAGCGUUAAUCGGAAUUACUGGGCGUAAAGCGUGCGCAGGCGGUUUGACAAGUCAGAUGUGAAAGCCCCGGGCUCAACCUGGGAACUGCGUUUGAAACUGUCAGGCUAGAGUGUGUCAGAGGGAGGUAGAAUUCCACGUGUAGCAGUGAAAUGCGUAGAGAUGUGGAGGAACACCGAUGGCGAAGGCAGCCUCCUGGGAUAACACUGACGCUCAUGCACGAAAGCGUGGGGAGCAAACAGGAUUAGAUACCCUGGUAGUCCACGCCCUAAACGAUGUCUACUAGUUGUUGGUGGAGUGAAAUCCAUUAGUAACGCAGCUAACGCGUGAAGUAGACCGCCUGGGGAGUACGGUCGCAAGAUUAAAACUCAAAGGAAUUGACGG
Molecule: ribosomal RNA, 587 nt
Filed under: uncultured bacterium
Lineage: Bacteria
Description: bacterial SSU rRNA
Rfam family: Bacterial small subunit ribosomal RNA
Source: RNAcentral